RNAcentral lists this long non-coding RNA (208 nucleotides) under Lathyrus oleraceus (garden pea). RNAcentral describes it as "Pisum sativum (pea) long non-coding RNA (PSAT_LNC015463)". Lineage: Eukaryota; Viridiplantae; Streptophyta; Magnoliopsida; Fabales; Fabaceae. The record is from RNAcentral.
AAAAGGUUUUAGAACUUGGCAUUCAUGUUGUUGUUUUUUCUUUGUGCAAGAAUUAUUUUAUGGGGUGUCGUCCAAUCUUGACUCUUUUUUACUCGAAUUUUUCUUUAGAGCAUCACAUUAAUGCAUGAGUCUAUUGCCUAGGCAAUUGCUUAUACUUUAUUUCUCUUUUUUUUUCAUUUCUUUUUCUCUUCUUUUUUUCGGUAGAAGC